GCCGGCUAUAAUUCGGAGAGGUAACUCAUAAACUAGUUAACUGAAAUGGUUUCCGCCAGACUUGUUACUUACAGGUUAGUCAGGCUUGUGAUCUUUGUGAGAACCAUGGGAAAUUGCCCUGACAAUCUGUUUGCCAUCAGUGACCUGCAUGACUUUGGCGUCAACAGAUCAACAUCAUGGAAAAUCACCAUCCAGUGGCACGAAUCUUUCCCUGAGGCUCCAUUUAGUUGUACUACUAGUCAAGCAAACAGUGGGGACAAGAGGAAAGUGCAAGGCCACUCACAGUCCUUGUAACUUCUUCAUCCGGGCCCACUGGUCAGGCACUCCACCAUGGAACAAGUUCCUGCUUAGAUCUCUGCAGCACGGAAACACAGCUGGAGAAGGUUGGGGAGGUCGGCGAAGUCAGGCGGGAGCUUAGCAGAGAAGUUCUGCUCCUUCAAGAAUCUGCGUAGAUUAUCAUGGUGUCAAACCUUCACGCAAUUUUGUUGGCGUAAGGAAUUAAAAAAAACGCAG
Molecule: long non-coding RNA, 513 nt
Organism: Setaria italica (foxtail millet)
Lineage: Eukaryota; Viridiplantae; Streptophyta; Magnoliopsida; Poales; Poaceae
Exons: 3
Source: RefSeq, a predicted model, not a curated record